This is a small nucleolar RNA of Cercocebus atys (sooty mangabey), 127 nucleotides long. The record is from Ensembl. Lineage: Eukaryota; Metazoa; Chordata; Mammalia; Primates; Cercopithecidae.
AGGAUAUAUCAAAGAGACCUUCUAGGGCUGUGAAGCCAGGAUCUCCUAAUGCUAUGACCAAAGAUUGAAGUUUUGCAUAGGAUCCCAUAGUCACUCAGCAGUGCUGUUUUCCUAAGGAACUGUAAGA